UUUAAAUUGAGAGUUUGAUCCUGGCUCAGGAUGAACGCUGGCGGCGUGCCUAAUACAUGCAAGUC
Molecule: ribosomal RNA, 65 nt
Filed under: Ligilactobacillus murinus
Lineage: Bacteria; Bacillati; Bacillota; Bacilli; Lactobacillales; Lactobacillaceae
Description: Lactobacillus murinus partial 16S ribosomal RNA
Rfam family: Bacterial small subunit ribosomal RNA
Source: RNAcentral